This 216-nucleotide long non-coding RNA is filed under the name Nicotiana benthamiana. RNAcentral describes it as "long non-coding RNA (NBEN_LNC018007)". Lineage: Eukaryota; Viridiplantae; Streptophyta; Magnoliopsida; Solanales; Solanaceae. The record is from RNAcentral.
ACUUUCACCGGUUUUACCUUUUCCUUUACCAAAUAUUUUUUCAUAGAAAAUGCCAUAUUAAUUAUAAUUAUGCAAACUAAACCACACAAAAAUAUAUUAUUAAAACGUAAGAGUUGAAACGAGUUUACCGGAUUGCCGAACAACUUCUUGAAAAUUAAAAAUCGUUUAACACUUGAAAACUUCAAUUCAACAAUUUCACAAAUUUUCACGAAUUUU